CUUUUCAUUUAGGUGUGCAGAGUUUUAUCUCAAAAUACCUCGAUUCUCUAGACCUAAAAUUUUAGAUAGUUCUUCCACUUGAUGAAGUUGAAACUUGAUAUACAAUAGAGCAAUUUUUUAUCAAUUAGCUGAGCAUAAAAUUAAUUCAGAAGAUCUGCAACCUCAAGAGAAUUAGUUUUGAAAAGGACACUUAAUUACGUGAAGAACACUUUGAGUGCCAGUCGAGCAACUCUGAGUUGGAGGGCCACUGCAUUGACUUACCAUUGUUAGUACUUGAAUUUCAAAAAAUCAUCAUCAAAUACUGGAGUUUUACGUUUAAAUUUCAUGAACCUGACCCCAAUUCCGUAUGAACUCGGUAUGAGGUUCACUGAUGCAGAUUGGUAAAUUUGUAGUCAUCAGCACCUUUAACGGAAACUAAAUGCCAAAGGGCAAAGACUUCAGCAAAUAGACCAAGGACUUGUAGUCAUCAGACCCUUGAGUCAUCAAUGGAUCGUUCGAACUUCUUUGUGCACAAACUCCGCGGCGAAAACAAAACAAGCGUAGCAUUCGGGCUAGACUGAUUGAUGAAGUUUACCGUGAGCCAUCAACCUGUGGAAUGUGCCUGGAAAUUUGGAAAUCCCAUCCUAACAAUUUCAACAAAGUGCACAUGCAGGCAAUCCCGAACGUCUUCUAUAUAAACCGGUAAUAUCAUGCUUGCUUCUUCACAUCCAGCUUGCCAAUCACUACUUGAAACAAAGCCAUUGUCGACACAGAGCGCCUUCUCAUCACCGCAAUGGCUUUUGAAAGAAACCUUUUGAUUGUUACCAUACUCAUCACCUUGGGGACCUUGGCAUCUGAAGCCACGUCCCGCACAUUGUACCAAGCUUCCAUUGCUGCAAAACAUGAGCAGUGGAUGAAAAAGCAUGGACGCGUUUACCAGGACAGCGCGGAGAAGGAAAGGCGUUUCCAGAUAUUCAAAAACAAUGUGGAGUUUGUCGAGAAAUUCAACAGUGAAGGGAACAUGACUUACAGCCUUUGCGUCAACCGAUUUUCGGAUAUGAGCUAUGACGAAUUCCUCAGGUAUUAUACUGGAUACAAGCAGCCCACUGAAUCAACCUCAUCCGCAGAUGCAUCAUUUACGUACGAAAACCUAAGCCCGACGGAUGUUCCCCCAAGCAUUGACUGGAGGGACAAUGGAGCUGUUACUCCAGUAAAAGAUCAAGGGCGCUGUGGUAAGAGCACCAACCACCAUAUUAAUAUGGGGCUAAGUACAUAUAUAUGUAUUGCAUUAAUUACUUUCUUCUUGCAUUCAUUCCUACGGAAAUUAAUUCAUAUCCGUUUGUUCAAAUACAUGCAGGUUGUUGCUGGGCAUUUUCUGCAGUGGCAGCAGUCGAAGGGAUUACCCAAAUCAAAACUGGCAAAUUGAUCUCACUAUCUGAGCAACAGCUUGUGAGCUGUGAUACAGAUAACAACAGGGGCUGCCAAGGUGGUUGGAUGGUUAAUGCCUUUGCAUACAUUCAACAAAACGGAGGAAUUGCCAGUGAAGAAAAUUACCCAUACCAGAGUUUAGAUGGCAGUGAAGGAACAUGUGAUAUGAACAAGGCAAAUGAGGCUGCUGCCCGGAUAACUAGUUAUGCAGAGGUACCUCCCAACAGUGAAACCGAUCUACUCAAGGCUGUGUCCAUGCAACCAGUCUCCGUUGCCAUCAAUAUGUCACCAGCCUUUCAGCAUUAUUCAGGCGGGGUGUUCACCGGUGAUGAUUGUGGGACAUCAUUGGACCACGCUGUUACCGUCAUUGGGUAUGGGACAACUGAUGAUGGCACCCCCUAUUGGUUAAUCAAGAAUUCAUGGUCCGAUACGUGGGGUGAGAAUGGCUACAUGAAGAUUCUUAGAAACGCUGAAGCCCCAGGUGGUGUUUGUAGCCUCGCUACGAAAGCUUCCUAUCCGACUAUUUAAUGUAUUAAUGAAAGGGUGGAGUGAGCUUCUCCACUUUGCCUAUAGGUUAUAAGUACUACAGACAAAAACCAUAGGCUGUGAAAAUGCCUGUAUUUUGUAUUUGCUAAAAGUAUGGUUUAUGAAAUUACACUAUUUUUGUUGUGCUAGGAUAACACCAAAACCAAUUGGAACCAACUCAAGCUAACCCACAUGAAAUUUAUCAAAUGAAAAUGCAAGAACAAAAUAUAAAAGACAUCAAGAUUUUAACGAGGUUCCUCAACAGUCAGUGUAACUGGAGUACGUCCUCGGAGCAGUAGGAGCUCACCCAAUAAUCCACUAUCAACCAAUUGGGAGUUUACAAAGUGUUGGCAAUCUCACAACCUAAAUAACCCAAUACACCCAAUAGCUCUCACACACCACAGAAACAAAUAGAGAAAGAAAUAUAAUGAAUAAUUUCUUCUCUAUACAUAUAGCUCAAAGCUAUUUCAACAACAACUACUUUGGUGGAUGAUUACUAACCAAAUGAAGCAUCAUCUUCUUCUUCUUUUUGGGCUCUCUGCAACUCUCUUUGCUCUCGGCAGCUCUCACUUCUCUCUUCAGAAAAAAAUGAGCCCCUUCUUCUUUUUUUUUUCUCUUCAUCCGAAGAAAACCAAUAAUUAUGGCUUUGAAAAAGCCACAAAACAAGGAAACAUAAUCAUGAUGCCUCCUCAUCAUGAUGUUCCCUCAUCAUUAUGUCCUUCAAUCUUUUGUUUUGUUUACUAGCCGAAAGUGAAUGCCAAGUUGGCCACUAAUUUGGCCAUUAUCCAACAAUCUCCACCUUGGCCAAAUUCCGAAAACACCAUUAUAAGCCAACCAACACAAAAACACUCCCAAACACUACCAAGAGAACAACUCAUGCUGAGCCAAAUGCUCCAAAACUCCUACUGCUCAUCGCCUUCUUUAUAUAGGCAAAAUGUGAGCCAAGUUCAAGCAAUGAACAAACUUGGCUACACCAACAACCUUAGUCAACAUAUCAGUGGGGUUGUCUUUAGUUGGAAUCUUCUGGAGAAUGAUUUCUCCUUCACCAACAACUUCACGAACAAAGUGAUAACGCAUAUCUAUGUGCUUGGUCCUUGCAUGGUGAACAUGAUACUUAGCCAAAUAAAUGGCACUCUGACUAUCACAAUGCACCUGCACCUGCUUCUGAUCCACCCCCAAAUCUCUAAUUAGCCUAUGUAUCCAAAUGGCCUCCUUUAUAGCUACAGCAACUGCCAUAUAUUCAGCCUCUGUAGUAGACAAGGCAACAGACGACUGCAAAAUGGACCUCCAACAAACUGGCCCUUUAGCCAUAGUAAACACAUAGCCUGUAGUAGACUUCCUUCCAUCCAGAUCACCUGCAUAAUCUGAAUCAACAUAACCAACUGCAAAAUGACCAAUACCAGCGUCAUCCCUCUCAAAACAUAAACCAACAUCUUGAGUACCAUAGAGAUACCUCAAUAUCCACUUAGCUGCUUGCCAAUACUCUUUACCAGGAUUAUGCAUAUAUCGACUCACCAUGCCAACUGCAUGAGCAAUAUCCGGUCUAGAGCAUACCAUUGCAUACAUCAAACUACCAACCAAAUUUGCAUAUGGUAUAUUUUUCAUUUGCAGCUUCUCCUUAUCAGCUUUAGGACAUUGUAGAGAACUCAAUUUAAAAUGAGGAGCAAAGGGGUACUAACCGGUUUGGUUGAAUCAUGAACUCCAAACUUCUGAAUCAACUUCUCAAGGUAUUGUCUUUGAUUCAAGCAUACCAAACCUUUCUCUUUGUCUCUAGUGAUCUCCAUGCCAAGGAUCUUCUUUGCUUCACCAAGAUCCUUCAUCUCGAACUCAUUCUUCAUUUGCUUCUUCAAUUUCUCAAUCUCUUCGACAUUCUUUGAGGCAAUCAACAGAUCAUCAACAUAUAUCAACAAAUAAAUGAAAGACCCAUCUUGAAAAUUCUUGAAGUACACACAAUGAUCAUAUUGACUUCUAGAAUAAUUUUGGCCUUUCAUAAAUUUAUCAAACCUUAAAUACCAUUGCCUUGGAGAUUGCUUCAAGCCAUAAAGUGAUUUCUUCAAUUUGCAAAACAAAUUCUCCGUCCCUUUCACUGUAUACCCAUCCGGUUGACACAUAUAGAUCUCUUCAUUCAAAUCACCAUGUAAGAAAGCCAUCUUCACAUUAAGUUGCAAAGCUCAAGAUCAUACUGUGCAACAAGCGCUAACAUAAUGCGAAUUGAGGAGUGCUUCACAACUGGAGAAAAGAUUUCAUUGUAGUCAAUACCAUCAUUUUGUGCAUACCCUUUAGCAACUAAUCUUGCAUUGAAUCUCACAUUGCUUUUCUCAUCAGCAUCUUCCUUCUUGGCAUACACCCAUUUGCAAGUGAUAGCUUUCUUGCCCUUAGGCAAUUUAGCUAACUCCCAAGUCUUGUUCUUCAAGAGAGAAUUCAUCUCAUCACCCAUGGCAUUGCACCACCUCUCAUUCUCCUCACUCUCAAUGGCUUCCUCGAAAUUGGAUGGAAUAUCAUCAAUGAUAAUAGGAAGACCAAAAGCAACAUAGUCACUAUACUGGGCUGGCUUGGUAAUUUGUCUAUUUCCUCUGUUCUUGGCAAUAGGCUCUUGAGGUGAAACUUGCUCUUCAACUUGAAUAGAAUCUUCAAGUUCAACUUCUUCAACAUCCUCAUGGUCUCCAACUUCUUCACUUGUAGUGGCUUCGACAUCAGCAUAAAUAAGAUUUGAAGUACUAGAGACAACUUUCUCAAGCUCCACCUGUUGGACAUCUUUCACAUUCUUCUCAGAGUCCUUGUACAUACUUUCUUCAUCAAAUGUCACAUCUCUACUAAUUACAAGUUUCUUCAUCUCUGGGCACCACAACCGGUAACCUUUGACACCACUACAAAAACCAAGAAAGAUAGCCUUUUUGGCUAUAGGAUCAAGUUUAUUUUCAGUUACAUGAAAAUAAGCAGGUGAACCAAAAAUACGAAUAUGAUCAUAAUCAGAAGAGGGUUUUCCAGUCCAUACCUCCAUUGGUGUCUUACCCUGAAUAGCAGCUGAGGGUAACCGAUUGAUGAUGUGACAUGAGUAACUGCCUCUGCCCAAAACGACUUGCUCAAACUCGACUGAGACAACAUGCAUCUAACCUUCUCAAGCAAGGUUCGAUUCAAUCUUUCUGCAACUCCAUUUGUUGUGGAGUUCCCCAGACACUAAAAUGUCUCACAAUCCCUUCCUCUUUGCAAACUUUAAAGAAAGAGUCAGAUGUGUAUUCACCACCAUUAUCCGAUCUCAAAUCUUAAUCUUUCUCCCAGUUUGGUUUUCAACCAUUUUCUUUCAACCCAAGAAAAUGCUUAACACCUCACUCUUGUGCUUCAUAGUGUAGACCCAAGACCUUCUUGAAUAAUCAUCAACAAAAGUCACGAACCAAUGUCUACCACUCAAAGAGGGAGUCUUUGUAGGACCCCAAACAUCUGAAUGCACAUAAUCAAGAAUGCCCUUCAUCUGAUGUACCGCAGUACCAAACUUCACUCUAGUUUGCUUUCCUAAGACACAAUGCUCGCAUAAAUCAAGCUUACAAGUCGUGGCACAUUUUAGAAAACCUUGUUUCACAAGCCCUUGUAGAGCUUUCUCACCGGCAUGGCCUAAUCUCAUAUGCCACAGUCUAGUAGUAUCAGAAUCAUAUGUGCCCAUAUUUUCUGAGACUACAGAUGUUUCACCUGUCACAGUGCUUCCUUGCAAUAAAUACAAAUAGCCACAUCGAGGAGCUUUCAUCACAACAAGUGCACCAUAAGUAACUUUCAAUGUCUGUCCAUCUGAAUGAAACCUGAAGCCCUUGGAUUCCAAAGUACCCAAAGAAAUAAGAUUUUUCUUCAAAUUCGGUACAUACCGAACACCUGUCAACUCUUUAACCAUGCCAUCAUGCGACUUCAAACGAACUAUACCAAUCCCUUUUGUUGUGCAAGGAUUGUCAUCUCCUAUGAACACAACGCCACCAUCAAACUCUUUCAAGCUUGAAAACCAAUCCUUGUGAGGAGUCAUAUGAUGAGUACAACCCGUAUCCAACACCCACUUAGUAGCACAAUCAAAUGAUGAGGAAGUGGUUAAAGCAAAAUUAGAAAAAAUUUGUUUCAACCUCAGCAACAUUCAAUCAACCAUCAGCAGCCUUGCAGCUGCUUUCUGUUCCAUUCCAAGUGAAAGCCAAAAUAGUCGAUUUGAUACUUAUGAGUGGUUGGAGUAUAUAGCAAGAGAUGCUGCAUUUUGCCGUUAUUGCUAUAUUUUCAAAUGAAAACGGGAGAUGUUGGCAGUGAUGUCUUCACUGAAAAGGAUUUUUAAUGUAACUUGUUUGUAUUGAUAAAUUAUGGACGAUAUUACUAAAUUGAAAUGGUUGUUUCCUUUUUUUUAAACUUUGCACUCUUUUAAAUUCGCCCCUCCCCCUACUAAUUCUUGGCUUCGCCACUGAAUACUACAGAUGGCACCAAGUUCAGGAUAUUCAAGAAUGAAUGGGGUGAGAGCUAGGGCAAAAAUGGCUACAUUUGAAUUCUUAGAGAUGCUGGCCCUCCUAAAGGUCUGUGUGGCCUUGCUACAACGGCUUCCUACCCAAUUAUAGAUUGAUCGUGUCGGCUUCAAAGGCUACAAUUAAGUGCGUAAAUCUAAUUUUCUUCUCAAUAUUGAGAAAGCUCCGUUGAUAAAAAAGGGCUUGUAUUUUGUAUCUGAUUAGCAUAACUGAAGACGGCAUCGAGUUGUUUUGAAAAGAAUAUAAUUAAGUGUGUGGAUCUAAUUUUCUUUUCAUUUAGGUGUGCAGAGUUUUAUCUCAAAAUACCUCGAUUCUCUAGACUUAAAAUUUUAGAUAGUUUUUCCACUUGAUGAAGUUGAAACUUGAUAUACAUUAGAGCAAUUUUUAUCAAUUAGCUGAGCAUAAAAUUAAUACAGAAGAUCUGCAACCUCAAGAGAAUUAGUUUUGAAAAGCACACUAAAUUACAUGAAGAACACUUUGAGUGCCAGUCGAGCAACUCUGAGUUGGAGGGCCACUGCAUUGACUUACCAUUGUUAGUACUUGGAUUUCAAAAACAUCAUCAUCAAAUACUGGAGUUUUACGUUUAAAUUUCAUGAACCUGACCCCAAUUCCGUAUGAACACGGUAUGAGGUUCACACACCUUUAAUGGAAACUAAAGGCCAGAGGGCAAAGACUUCAGCAAAUAGACCAAGGACUUGUAGUCAUCAGACCCUUGAGUCAUCAAUGGAUCCUUCGAACUUCUUUGUGCACAAACUCCACGGCGAAAACAAAACAAGCGUAGCAUUCGGGCUAGACUGAUUGAUGAAGUUUACCGUGAAUCAUCAACCUGUGGAAUGUGCCUGGAAAUUUGGCUCCCUUCCAAAUUCCCAUCCUAACAAUUUCAACAAAGUGCACAUGCAGGCAAUCCCGAACGCCUUC
This 7331-nucleotide long non-coding RNA is filed under the name Malus domestica (apple). RNAcentral describes it as "long non-coding RNA (MDOM_LNC009697)". Lineage: Eukaryota; Viridiplantae; Streptophyta; Magnoliopsida; Rosales; Rosaceae. The record is from RNAcentral.